CGGGAAGAAAGCGCGCCAUCUGAACGGAGACGCGGCCGCGCAAAUUUACUUCUCUGCUGUGAAGAGGAAACUCCACAUCUGUGAGUUGUUUGAUUCAAGAAUUUAAACGUGAAACUACCUGAAGCAAGAAGGCAUUUUCAAGCUCAAAUAUAUCUCUAUUACACUGAAGGAAUUCUCCCCUGACAGCUGGACGCUUUAUGAUUGCUGUGGAUCAGACCAUUGUGAACGAUGGUGUCACAAAUUGUGGUGAUGCCCUUCUGAUGAUGUU
Danio aesculapii is the source of this 268-nucleotide long non-coding RNA. RefSeq lists it as uncharacterized. The record is from RefSeq and is a predicted model, not a curated record. Lineage: Eukaryota; Metazoa; Chordata; Actinopteri; Cypriniformes; Danionidae. The transcript has 3 exons.